ACCUUCUUCAGCAAUAGAUGGGGCUUGCGCCUUAGAGUUCAGGGGAGCCCCAAUCUCCAUCCCUAUUCCAUGGUUUAAGAGACCAGCUUUAGUAGUCUCUCCUCCAGCUAGAGCAGAAGGAGGAGGACUUUGAAUGAACACCUUCCAGACAUUACCAAAAUCAUAUAAUUUCUCUUCCUUUACAAAAUCUUGAACAACAGUAAGAGGG
This 208-nucleotide long non-coding RNA is filed under the name Panax ginseng (ginseng). RNAcentral describes it as "long non-coding RNA (PGIN_LNC010459)". The record is from RNAcentral. Lineage: Eukaryota; Viridiplantae; Streptophyta; Magnoliopsida; Apiales; Araliaceae.